UAGGGAAUCUUCGGCAAUGGCGAAAGUCUGACCGAGCAACGCCGCGUGAGUGAAGAAGGUUUUCGGAUCGUAAAACUCUGUUGGUAGAGAAGAACGUUGGUGAGAGUGGAAAGCUCAUCAAGUGACGGUAACUACCCAGAAAGGGACGGCUAACUACGUACCAG
Molecule: ribosomal RNA, 164 nt
Filed under: uncultured bacterium
Lineage: Bacteria
Description: partial 16S rRNA
Rfam family: Bacterial small subunit ribosomal RNA
Source: RNAcentral